GACGGGACCGCACAAGCGGUGGAUGAUGUGGAUUAAUUCGAUGCAACGCGAAAACCUUACCUACCUUGACAUGUCCGGAAUCCCGAAGAGAUUUGGGAGUGCUCGCAAGAGAGCCGGAACACAGGUGCUGCAUGGCUGUCGUCAGCUCGUGUCGUGAGAUGUUGGGUUAAGUCCCGCAACGAGCGCAACCCUUGUCAUUAGUUGCCAUCAUUGUUGGGCACUCUAAUGAGACUGCCGGUGACAAACCGGAGGAAGGUGGGGAUGACGUCAAGUCCUCAUGGCCCUUAUGGGUAGGGCUUCACACGUCAUACAAUGGUCGGUACAGAGGGUUGCCAACCCGCGAGGGGGAGCUAAUCCCACAAAGCCGAUCGUAGUCCGGAUCGCAGUCUGCAACUCGACUGCGUGAAGUCGGAAUCGCUAGUAAUCGCGGAUCAGCAUGUCGCGGUGAAUACGUUCCCGGGUCUU
This 465-nucleotide ribosomal RNA is filed under the name uncultured Rhodocyclaceae bacterium. RNAcentral describes it as "bacterial SSU rRNA". It matches the Rfam family "Bacterial small subunit ribosomal RNA", at positions 917 to 1381 of the family's 1533-position model. Lineage: Bacteria; Pseudomonadati; Pseudomonadota; Betaproteobacteria; Rhodocyclales; Rhodocyclaceae. The record is from RNAcentral.